UAAAUAAUUAUCAUAUUAUUAUCGGGGUGUUACAGCUCUCGCCACAGAGAUCAUACUAGUGUUGUCGCAACCGCCAUUAACCCGGUCUCCCCUAUUUUCUAUCCACCUUUUUAGCCACAACCUCCACAAUUUUAGCCAUGAAUUCCACUUACCUUUUCAACCAACGAAUGCUAAAUUUAAGGGAAGUGAAAAGUAUAUAAAGGAGGGUCG
RNAcentral lists this long non-coding RNA (210 nucleotides) under Lathyrus oleraceus (garden pea). RNAcentral's name for it is "Pisum sativum (pea) long non-coding RNA (PSAT_LNC025126)". The record is from RNAcentral. Lineage: Eukaryota; Viridiplantae; Streptophyta; Magnoliopsida; Fabales; Fabaceae.